CAGUCGCCGCGGUAAUACGAAGGGUGCAAGCGUUAAUCGGAAUUACUGGGCGUAAAGCGUGCGUAGGCGGUUUCUUAAGUCUGCUGUGAAAUCCCCGGGCUCAACCUGGGAAUGGCAGUGGAUACUGGGAAGCUAGAGUGUGUCAGAGGAUGGUGGAAUUCCCGGUGUAGCGGUGAAAUGCGUAGAGAUCGGGAGGAACAUCAGUGGCGAAGGCGGCCAUCUGGGACAACACUGACGCUGAGGCACGAAAGCGUGGGGAGCAAACAGGAUUAGAUACCCCAGUAGUCCCUGUCUCUUAUAC
This 301-nucleotide ribosomal RNA is filed under the name uncultured bacterium. Its description in RNAcentral is "partial 16S ribosomal RNA". It matches the Rfam family "Bacterial small subunit ribosomal RNA", at positions 509 to 807 of the family's 1533-position model. The record is from RNAcentral.